UCUUGAAAAUGUCCUAAGCGAGAUUCACGCAUCUGUCAAAUAUCUUGUGUUCUGUGAUGGCUACCGCUACAAAUGCGGUGACGUAAAUCUCGAAGGCUGACUAUCGAGUACUACCUUCUAAUGUAAUUACCGUUCUCGUAUCGAGGACUCGAUACAUUAACAUUACGAACUCGAUAGAUUUUCGUGUUUGACGUACAGAUCUUCUCAGUGGCUCGCGUUUCCGAUCCGGUAGUAUAUUCUACCAACCGCUGCUCUUGCUAAGGCUAGUGUUAGCAAAUUCGCCAAGCCGAGACCCGUGAGCUCGCCUACUCACUCGGUGAAGCUGACAUAACCCUUAGAGGCUCCCAGCGCAGGUAAACAAAAAAAGAGAAGACGCAUGAUAGGCUUAAAUGAAAAAAGAGAACAUGCGACGCUGAUCCCUUAUUGUGGCAUACGGGCGUGAUAAAGACAAAUAUUUUAUAAUAAUUACUAGCUGACCCGGCAGACUUCGUAGUGCCUCAAUCGAUAAAUAAAAGAACUAAGCUUUUGUAUAAAAUAAACUUAAAGCAAACAAACAAAAGGAAUCCGUCCGACGAGGGACACAUCAAAGGAAAAACAAAAUUGUUAUUUUUAUUUAAUUCCGAGAAUUUUCAUAUUUAUUUACCUUUAAAACCUUCUCUGGACUUGCACAAAUAAUUCAAGUCCAAAAUUAGCCAAAUCGGUCGAGCCGUUCUCGAGUUUUAGCGAGACUAACGAACAGCAAUUCAUUUUUAUACUAUAUAUAUAGAUUAUUUAAAUCAAAAUCAAAAGUCCACAUAAUAUUCUUUUAUAAAAGAGAUUUUGUUCUAUGAAUCCGGUGAUUUAACUGUCGGCUGUCACUAGCAACAGUUUUGAAAACAACAAACAGGUGCCAGUAUCUGUCCAAACAAUAUAACAAAAACAUUAUGUAAUACAACUUUUAACAUGUCAACAUGUCAUGCCAAUAAUGUUCGUAAAGUUUAUAACGUUUUCUCAUUGCGUUUACAAUAUGUAAUAAUUUAUUUGAGCUAAUUAGGAAUUUUCGUAUUGAAGUAUGCAUUUAUUUCUACGGUUUCAGCAGUAAUAUUGAUGGCGAAUCAUUGAUGCGCCUCAAUGUAAAUGUUUUGUGAAAUCUUUCAAAUUUUAAUUUCAAAGUAAUAUCUCUGAUAAAUGAUAUCUCGAGAACAUCUAAAAGCAAUCACGACUAAUAACAAUCUACCGAUAUAAAUCGGCCGAUAGAUUUUCGCUAAUUGAGAUUCCGAAAUGAUAAGUUUGAUAAUAUUUCGUCGUUCGAAUCAUUUCUUUUUCGGUAGCCAAGCCUAGUUGUUAGCGUGUUUGAUGUAAAAUCGACUAGAAUUCGACCGCGACUUUGAAUUAAAUUAUCGUAUGUGACCGCCCGAACCUAAAUACUUUUCUUCUCCAGUAUAAUGGACAUCUAAAACCAAAUAGACUUAGAUAAGAAAUCCAAAGCCCAGUGGUCGAGUUAAACAUCACUAGGCAUUAGGAAGUAAUUAAAAAAUACCAUUUUUAAGAAAUUGCUAUGAAGACCAAGAUCGAGCGGCUUAUAGUACUUGGUAGAUGCACAAUCUGAAGUUCCAUGAAACCUGUGUACCUGUGAUAUUUUAAGUCGAAAAUGUCGGUACCGCGAUUCAAGUUUUCGCCGGACUUUUUCAGUCCUACACACAGCUUUAUUUUAUAUAGCUAUAUUAUAUAGCUAUAUUUUGAUAGCUAUAAGUACAAACAAAAAUAUAUAUGUUUUUCUUUAAAUUCAGUUCCUUUGGUUUUUAAAAUCAUCAGCGCGUGGAGACGCUGCUUUGUUAAUUUUUUUGUAAACAUGACAUUAUUUUUGAAUCUUCUGAAAAAGAAGAUACUAGUUGCAAAUGUCGCAGAUACCUCAGUUAUAAAGAGUAGUUCCUUAUGAGACGAUGCGGAGGGGUACCCUCACCGGGAAAAACGUCCGUAACGUAAGAUUUUUAUUAGUAAUGCACACAGUGUCCUAACUCUUAUACAAACAGCCGUGAAUGAAGUGUACCUCAAUAAGUUCGCACGUUACCGUAUGGGUUGUUGCGAAACCUCCAGUUUUAUUUUCUUUAUACCUCGAAUAGAACUUAAAAUUAAUAUUUUUAUAAUAAGGAACUUCGUUCCUAUCCGGUGUCCCACGACACCACACAUCUUUUUUUUUUCCUAUAGCUAUUUUAUUAUCCAAAAAUAACCAUCGCCAUAUCCUAGUGUUUAUCGAAUGAAAUCUUAUCGGCAUUUUUUUGCGUUCAAUCUUAAUAGAUUUUUGUAUUAGAUAAUCAAUGUUUUACGUAACACGAACUAUGUAUUGUAUCAAUUAACCGAACAUACUACUGGCGACAAGAAUUGGCGCCGGUCUACCGAAAUAGUUGAUCAGGGGGCCGACCCACGUACGAGAUGUCCACGCCUAGGGGCGCACAGGAUGUGUGGGACUUGACAGUCUGCAGAUGUUGGGAGCAGACCGCGGACCCAAGGAUGUCUUCAGGGUCCUAAACUAGAACGAUCCUGCAGGUGUUCAAACUUGUAACCAAAUAAAUCGGAUUUUGGUGUCGAAACCUAGCUGUUUGUAGUUUAUAAUAUUGUUUCUGUGUUUCUACAUUGAUUACUGAUAUGAUAUGAGAUUGAUAAAGAAAAAUAAAUCCCCAAACAACAA
Molecule: long non-coding RNA, 2668 nt
Organism: Bombyx mori (domestic silkworm)
Lineage: Eukaryota; Metazoa; Arthropoda; Insecta; Lepidoptera; Bombycidae
Exons: 2
Source: RefSeq, a predicted model, not a curated record